UCCCUCUCUCUCUCUCUCUCUCUCUCUCUCUCUCUCUCUCUCUCUCUCUCUCUCUCUCUCUCUCUCUCUCUCUCUCUCUCUCUCUCUCUCUCUCUCUCUCUCUCUUACGUAAAUCAGCAGCCAAUGAUGGGCAAUAUGGCAAUUACCUCAUUUAAAUAGGGUUUACAUGUUCAACGUGCGAAUGAAAAAACAUAGGCAUAGUGUUGGAAUAAAAUUACUUAUUUAUAAUGAAUUCUUAAAUGCCACACAAACUUAAGUCUACCUGCAAAGUGCCAUUUAUCCUUCAAAUCAAUCAAGACAAAAAGGCUAAAUUAGGAUAUAUAUUAGGCGUGACUGGGCCUUAUACACAGAUGGAAAUGUAUUCCAACUACAGCAUAACCCCCACUAAACGUUAUUGGCUGCGUUUAUAUAUAUAUAUUUUUUUAAAUCUUUAUUUAACUAGGCAAGUCAGUUAAAGAACAAACGACAUAUGUUUACCUUGACAGCUCGGGGAUUCGAUCUAGCAACCUUUCGGUGACUGGCCCAACGUUCUAACCGCCUGCCGCUCCAAAAUAGGUUAAAUAAUAAUAGUAGGGAAAAUAGGUUAAAUAAUAAUAGUAGGGAAAAUAGUUUUAGACUUAUUAUUAGAAUAUUCGAAUAAUCCAACAUUUUAAUGGUCAUCAUUGUUAUUCCAAAUCAGAGCGAUUGGAGCGGAUUGUUAAUGUGAUUCAAUUAGCAUAGUGUUUGAAGUGUAUGGAACCCACUCAGGGCGUUGAGUCAAGGUCAAGGUCAAUCCCUGAACGUCAAACCCUUUAAAUGAACUCGAGCGCUCCUAAAUAAACAGUGUAGACCUAUGUAGUAAUGCACUCUCUCACAAGGCAAAAUAUAGUCCUUUCGAAUCGUGAAAUAUAAAUAAGCCUAUUUUUUUUUCUUCCAAAAUUCAAUUUAGAUUUGGAUCCCAAAUCAGUGUAAAUAAUUUACGGUUGAUCUGAAAUUUAGAGACCGGACGCUUCCGAAUGGAUGGAGAAUCAUCAAUGCGUCGACUAGCCAUGCGGUCACUUUGUUUGAUGAAUUGUAGGCUGAACAUGUCCAACAGACAGUAAGCCACAAAUUAUAUGAAGUGCGCAACAUUGUGUCAAGUGAAUAUUGGAAAUCAAUGCGCCUGGCACAAUUCUACCUAUCGAAUUAAGAUUUGCUUUUGUUGCAUAGCAACUUUCAAAUACAGAUCCCACUUAGUGACAUUAGGCGUGAUAGCGCGUUAUAGUAAACCUUAUGCACGAGCCUUUCUUUAUAUGUUAGUUCCUAUUUGAUUGAUUAGUUAUUGAAGUGAUGCCUAAAGCAAAGACCUGUCGGCUAAUUUGCUUUAUGGGUAUUAAAGCUAACAAUCCUUUUAUAUAUAUAUAUAUAAAAACAUGUAUCUUUAAAGUCUAUUUUAGGCGAUUUUGUGUCAUUUGUUUAUUAUCUGUUUACAAAUAGGCAUAAUAACCACGCAAUCACAUUUCUUUUUAAAAGUCCUUUUUACGUCAGUAGUUGUCACAAAGUGCUUUAGUAACCUCAUGCUUUAUAAUAAACCUUAACUUUGCAUAAAGGGCUUUCCUUGCAUUUCCUUGUUAAUGUUCUAGCGGUUUCCAUGAGGAUCUUUUUCAGCCAUUAUUAACGGCCACAUCUAGUGACCUGUCUGUCCGACUGAGCUAAUAGAGGGCGCCUCUUGUUUUCUCAGCUUUUUAAAACUUAACCCGUCCACUUUUUUUUGUGCAAUUGAUAUUGGAUUAAAACGUUUAUUUUAAGAAAGUCCUUUUUUUUUUUAAGUAUGAAAAAUGAAUAAGAUGUAUGCCAAUGUAUGGGGGACAAUUUAAUUGUAUUAUUGACGUAGGCUAUUGAAACCCUUUCAUGGUAUCAUUCCUUUUACGCUGCUCUACUCUCUUUGAAUUGGAAAAAAAAAAAAAAACAUUAAAAUACUUUCUAACUUUAUAAACGUCGUUCCGUCUGGUCCUUUUUCUUAGAUCCAGCCCUGGCUCUUAUUAAAGUGUCUAAACUAGGGUGGCCUUCUCAUUUAUUUUAUUUAUUAUUGUUGACUUGACAUACUUAUAGUCUGUCAUUCCUUUUCUGCAAGUGAACACGACUUGUUUUUGUCUUUAGCGUUGUGUGGAGUGGAGCCGGGCACUGAGCAGCAGCCCUGUUGUCCUACACUACUGCUGUGUGUCACUACUCUGUCCCCGCCUCCUUAAGUGGGACUGGCUUCAGCUGAUUCAUGUCCUUCCAACCAGGCUCUAUAUACUGACCUCUGCUCUUUUAAGAUGGUUACUGAAGAGGAGACCAAUGCCACGUCCUGAAUGGUUCCCUAUUCCUUAUCUAUUCUCAUAGGGGCUCUGGUAUAAAAAAAAACCUAGUGCACUAUAUAGGGACUUAGGGUGCCAUUUUGGGAUGUUGAGGCUGUGAUCACUGAGCACAUAACCCCAUGUUGCAGCCUACUUAGUGUCUUCUCUGGUUACAAUAUCAAGUGUCUAUACAGACCGCAAAAAAAUAAAACUAAAUAAAAGGAAAACAUAUUUAUAGAAAUAGUUUGUGGACUUGAGAGAUGCGUUUAAAUGAGUAGGGUGGUAUGAUUACUCUGGUCCCAGAUCUGUUUGUGUUAAUCGUGUCAACUCCUUGGCGUAAUAAUGAGUGAACAUUACAUAUCUGUGACCAGGCUAUGGUAUGACUGGGAUCUAGCCCACCUGGGUAGCUGUGGUUAUGUUGGCUCCGCAUCGUGGACUGUCCUGCCUCUUCUCUCAGCCGACUCACUCCCUGGCAUAGGAGGAGCAUCUGCUGGGCUUGGGGAGACAAGGGGAAAACAUUGAGUAAAACAUCUGGAAUUAGAUCCGUCAUGAAAAUAAAUGGUAUGUUUUGCAUAGAUUACCAGGGUAGGAUGAAUGUUGUUUAAAAAUAAAUAAUCUAAGACACCGUUAUUAAGCUCGUUCCUAAUAGAGUCAAAGCUUAAAGGGGCAAUGUGCAGUUGUUUCAUCCAUUUAUUUAUGUUUUUACUUUUGAAUUAAUGAAAUGUACCCAAUGAUUCUUGAAGGAUAUUACUUAUAAUCUCUUUAUGUAGUGUUGUGUGUUUUGUCCUAUAUUUAUAUUUUGAUUUAUUUAUUUUUAAUCCCAGGCCCCUGUCCCCACAGGAGGCCUUUUGCCGUUUGGUAGGCCGUCAUUGUAAAUAAGAAUUUAUCCUUAACUGACUUGCCUAGUUAAAUAAUGGUACAUUUAAAAAAUAAAAUAAAAUGCCUCAUGAGCUUAGUUCAACUGUCGUACCCCGUCAGAAACCAAAAUGUAACCUUGUUUAACUCUAAUGUAUGUAAACAAAGUACAUGUAAAAAAAUAAAAAAUAAAAAAUAAACACUAUAUAGCCUCAAAACAUGGCUAAAACUAUAAUUGUUAUAUCAUGGAUGGUCAGUCCUUGCGUCUAUAGCUCUGCCUAUGAAUUUGGAAUGGUUUCUCCUAAUGACAACGGCAAGGACUUGGGUAGAAUGAAACCUUGAGAAGGACCAUGGCCUGGAGGUAAAGCCCUCUCCCCUGGAAACAGACCAUGGCCUGGAGGUAAAGCCCUCUCCCCUGGAAACAGACCAUGGCCUGGAGGUAAAGCCCUCUCCCCUGGAAACAGACCAUGGCCUGGAGGUAAAGCCCUCUCCCCUGGAAACAGACCAUGGCCUGGAGGUAAAGCCCUCUCCCCUGGAAACAGACCAUGCCCUAGAGGUAAAGCCCUCUCCCCUGGAAACAGACCAUGCCCUGGAGGUAAAGCCCUCCCUUUCUGGAAACAGACCAUGUCCUAGAGGUAAAGCCCUCUCCCCUGGAAACAGACCAUGUCCUAGAGGUAAAGCCCUCUCCCCUGGAAACAGACCAUGUCCUAGAGGUAAAGCCCUCUCCCCUGGAAACAGACCAUGUCCUAGAGGUAAAGCCCUCUCCCCUGGAAACAGACCAUGUCCUAGAGGUAAAGCCCUCUCCCCUGGAAACAGACCAUGUCCUAGAGGUAAAGCCCUCUCCCCUGGAAACAGACCAUGUCCUAGAGGUAAAGCCCUCUCCCCUGGAAACAGACCAUGUCCUAGAGGUAAAGCCCUCCCUUUCUGGAAACAGACCAU
Molecule: long non-coding RNA, 4091 nt
Organism: Oncorhynchus keta (chum salmon)
Lineage: Eukaryota; Metazoa; Chordata; Actinopteri; Salmoniformes; Salmonidae
Exons: 4
Source: RefSeq, a predicted model, not a curated record